ACCCAUAUUAAUAGCUCAGUGGUUAGAGUACUGUUUUCAUACGGCGGGAGUCAUUGGUUCAAAUCCAAUAGUAGGUA
RNAcentral lists this transfer RNA (77 nucleotides) under Datura stramonium (jimsonweed). RNAcentral's name for it is "tRNA-Met". The stretch from base 12 to 69 matches the Rfam family "tRNA", at positions 8 to 63 of the family's 71-position model. Rfam says of the family: Transfer RNA (tRNA) molecules are approximately 80 nucleotides in length. Their secondary structure includes four short double-helical elements and three loops (D, anti-codon, and T loops). Further hydrogen bonds mediate the characteristic L-shaped molecular structure. tRNAs have two regions of fundamental functional importance: the anti-codon, which is responsible for specific mRNA codon recognition, and the 3' end, to which the tRNAs corresponding amino acid is attached (by aminoacyl-tRNA synthetases). tRNAs cope with the degeneracy of the genetic code in two manners: having more than one tRNA (with a specific anti-codon) for a particular amino acid; and 'wobble' base-pairing, i.e. permitting non-standard base-pairing at the 3rd anti-codon position. The record is from RNAcentral. Lineage: Eukaryota; Viridiplantae; Streptophyta; Magnoliopsida; Solanales; Solanaceae.